CCUACGGGAGGCAGCAGUGAGGAAUAUUGGUCAAUGGGCGCGAGCCUGAACCAGCCAAGUAGCGUGAAGGAUGACUGCCCUACGGGUUGUAAACUUCUUUUAUAAAGGAAUAAAGUGAGGCACGUGUGCCUUUUUGUAUGUAUUUUAUGAAUAAGGAUCGGCUAACUCCGUGCCAGCAGCCGCGGUAAUACGGAGGAUCCGAGCGUUAUCCGGAUUUAUUGGGUUUAAAGGGAGCGUAGAUGGGUUGUUAAGUCAGUUGUGAAAGUUUGCGGCUAAACCGUAAAAUUGAAAUUGAUACUGGCAGCCGUGAGUACAUGUGAGGUAGGCGGAAUUCGUGGUGUAGCGGUGAAAUGCUUAGAUAUAAUGAAGAACUCCGAUUGAGAAGGCAGCCUACUAAACUGCCACUGACAUUGAUGCUCGAAAGUGUGGGUAUCAAACAGGAUUAGAUACCCGAGUAGUC
RNAcentral lists this ribosomal RNA (460 nucleotides) under uncultured bacterium. RNAcentral's name for it is "partial 16S ribosomal RNA". It matches the Rfam family "Bacterial small subunit ribosomal RNA", at positions 338 to 795 of the family's 1533-position model. The record is from RNAcentral.